Molecule: ribosomal RNA, 460 nt
Filed under: uncultured bacterium
Lineage: Bacteria
Description: partial 16S ribosomal RNA
Rfam family: Bacterial small subunit ribosomal RNA
Source: RNAcentral
CCUACGGGUGGCAGCAGUGAGGAAUAUUGGUCAAUGGACGAGAGUCUGAACCAGCCAAGUAGCGUGAAGGAUGACUGCCCUAUGGGUUGUAAACUUCUUUUAUAUGGGAAUAAAAUGUUCCACGUGUGGGGUUUUGUAUGUACCAUAUGAAUAAGGAUCGGCUAACUCCGUGCCAGCAGCCGCGGUAAUACGGAGGGGCCGAGCGUUAUCCGGAUUUAUUGGGUUUAAAGGGAGCGUAGGUGGAUUGUUAAGUCAGUUGUGAAAGUUUGGGGCUCAACCGGAAAAUUGCAGUUGAAACUGGCAGUCUUGAGUGCAGGAGAGGUGGGCGGAAUUCGUGGUGUAGCGGUGAAAUGCUUAGAUAUCACGAAGAACUCCGGUUGCGAAGGCAGUUCACUGGACUGCAACUGACACUGAGGCUCGAAAGUGUGGGUAGCAAACAGGAUUAGAUACCCUAGUAGUC